Molecule: non-coding RNA, 729 nt
Organism: Paramisgurnus dabryanus
Lineage: Eukaryota; Metazoa; Chordata; Actinopteri; Cypriniformes; Cobitidae
Source: RefSeq, a predicted model, not a curated record
GUAGAUUUAGCAGUACAUUACUGUAAAAAUCCACAGUACUAUACUGUAUGUGUACAUUACAGUACAGUACUGCAGUUCAUAAUGCAUUCUGGGUAAAUUUGUUUGAGCGGGAAAAUUUUACAGUAUAUUUUGGUCUUGAUGUAACCUUGCUGUAGCCAUUGCUGUAAUGUGCCAGGUGUACUUGCAAUAAUCAGAGAAAGUGCGCCAACGUCAAAUCACACAGAGGGAGACAGAGCACAACUCCUGGCUGCAGCUGAAGGAGGAUGAUUGAUUUCUGGCAGUUCGUCUUACCAUUGCUUGUAAGCUGGAUUGGGUAAGAUGGAUCAUCUUUAAAGGCACCAGGAGUUAAGGCAGAUGUGGAGGCACAACGGGUGAUACCAGACACACACCAAGCACAUUAUGUUUGGACAUUCAAUCAUGACAUGAUCCAGGUGGAUGCUGUCCAUUGAGGAAAGAGUUUGUUCAGCGGUUUCUGGAUAGAAUUAAUUCCAAAGAUGGGAAAAAGUGCACAUCCAGACAAGGAGCAAGCAAAAAGACAAGGAACUUGGUGCAGAGAAAAGCUGUGGCCAUUAACCCCUGUGAACAGCUUCAUGCAGUCGCUGAUUGAGUUCGAAUGGACGACUUCAAAGUAAAGGCCACUGUGGUCUGUCUGCCACAGUUUAAUUUUUAAUUUAUUUUUUGUGUUCAAUGAAAUUCAAGUAGAAUAUUUAAAACUAUGGGCCAGUGUUG